UAUUCAUCACGACCUAGAAAUGACACACACACACACACACACAUAUAUGUAUUUAUAAUACUCAUAAUAAAAUAGCUGGGAAUUCUUUGUUGGGACCCAACCCCAUGAUUCAUCUGGCCAACAUGGCUCCAUGCUGAGCUGUUUUGAUGGGCCUGUGAGUGUGCCUGCCUGCAUGAUGCUUCCACAGCUCUGGCAGCAAAUAGACAAGACAAACGCUCCGAGACGGCACCACAGCAGUGAGUGGGGUCGCCAUGCGAGAGCUGUUUGUGCUCCACUCAGGGUCUCGCACCAGAGGUCUUCAGUGAGAAGCCUUCAUUCUCACUCCACAGGCUCUGAGCUCUGUCAGCCCCCUCUGCUCUGUUCUGCUCUGCUCUGUCCUGCCUCUGACGCAGGUCCCCUUCCUCUGAGCCGGGGUGGGCCAUUGUUCAGAUGACCCCACCGGCCCUAUCUCUCUCUCCCAGUCACUUCCUGCUUCCUCCCGCGCAGGAAGUGCUGCGCCGCACGGCUCUCUGCUCUCCCCCUCUCACACUCCAGACAUAAAUCACAACUUUGCUGCACAUGCUUUUUUUUUUUUUUUCUGAGAGAGAUGUCCUUCUCUCGCUUUUAUUUAAAAAAAUAACUCUCACAAAACUGGGUUUGGUCUGAGCCAACCAGGUGUGUUCCAACCGUGGUGGCCCAUGUACAGUAUACGUAUGGUUUCUACCCUAUCAAAGAGUCUGUGGUAAAACAAACAAAAAACAAAUGACUUGAGCGAGUCACUAUGUCAUUGUGGUGCAGAAGAAGCAGUCUGGCCCAGCGCAGGAUCUUAUCUGUUCUAGAACCAGCUGCACAUGUGAUAUAUCCAUCUGCACUAUAUUAGGGACAAUUAUUAGUUACUUUGAUUAAACCUAGUUUUACCAAUUUUGUUGGGAUUACAGAAUGACAACUGAUCAUCCUGGACACCAUGUAACUGAUUCGUUGGUUACAAAUACCACAGUCUCCAUAAUAGUUUCCCACUAAAGCUUCGAUAGCUUGGGAGCAACUUCGUUACAAUGCAUGAAGCAAUAACAUAUGCUGUUUUCAAGCUGUGUUUUAAUUGAACAAAUGUUGGAUGUUCCAAAUGGGUCAGAGUUGCAGCACUGUGCGGAAUGAACCCACCGAGUCUGAACCAGAGGACAGCAAUGCGAGGUAUCUCCUCGCUGCCACCAUAAAUCAUUACUUAUAAAAUCCCAACUAGUCACUUGACUGUGAGCUAUUAGGAAAAACCACAAACCACUUCAAAGCACGCAAUAGCGGUUACCCUGCUUAGCUAUCCCUUAAAGCGGUUUGAUCAGGACGAGGCAGCUUUAUCCUUCAGCGCAGUUUUAUCAGUGCGAAACACACACAGGAAUUCCGGUCUGGGAAUGACCGUCCGAUUCCUAACUUCCACAGGAAGAUUAGCAUAAAAAGCUCCCCUACAGCCACAAAUGUGUUUCAUUUCUUGCCAGUCCGCCCUGGGGUCUUUCCAAAUCCACAUCAGCACUAGGAUGUGUGUUAGAAACAGCGUCCUUGUGAACAUUUUUUUUUUUUUCCGAUAUCUGGUCACUUCAGUUGGUACACCUAUAUUCCAGAGCAGACGCACGGCGGGAUGUGCGUUAAGGCAUCGAUUCACAAAGAUAGAAGAGUCGUUUCUGCCUACAAUCAUCUCUAUGAAGCCAUUUCACGGUGCAUUAUUACUUUUGGUACGCGCUAGGCCUGCCUCAAACUCGUACCGUGAGUAAUAAUGCACAGUGGUGGUCACUGCCUGCUUCCCAGCGCCUGGACCCAGAGAGCACAAGGACUUCAACGCAGUGGACCGAGAUUCAAAUGAAAGCAUGUUGAUAUUUGCCACACCAUUUAAACACCACAUUUAUGGCAACCUUUGAUGUAUGUGCAUUAUUAAUGAAACUCAGUGCUCAAUGUGGUUUGUAGUGGACGGGGGGGGGGGGGGGAUGUGUCAAUGCGUGGAGGUCAAGUCAAAUGUUUCAUUGAAAGUGAGGAAGAAGAAUAUAACACCUAACCACCACACAGGUCCCAAAAGAUCCUCACCCGAAAAUAGCCUCCUGAUUGGAACAGAGUAUUAUUAACCCGCAUUUGUUUAUUUAUUUAUUUAUUUAUUGAGGAUCAAGGGGAGGAAGCCUUUCAAGUAUUUUUUAAUAUGGUCCCCUGUUAAUUCCAUCUCCCUCUCUUCCCUAGUAAUUUAUUUUAUUCAAGCUUCACAGCUCCGCUGUCUGGUUUGCAAUCUUCUCGCCCCAGCUGUAAAUUGCUGUCUUAAUGUCCAGCAGGAUUCCAUUUGGCUGGUUGAUUAGCUCCUCCAAGGGUCCUGAUGUGGCAGCGGAAAAAACAUCAGCCUGCUUCAUUUGCUUUCCUGUAGGCUCGGCAGAGAUCUAAACACCGAUUUUAUUUCUCAUAUGACAUGAAUAACCACACAUGAUUGAAAAGAAUGGAGAAAAAAAAACACCAGAACCUGAGUUAAAGAAUGUAAUAAAAAUAUUGCAUGGAUCAAGGAUUUGAA
Molecule: long non-coding RNA, 2512 nt
Organism: Clupea harengus (Atlantic herring)
Lineage: Eukaryota; Metazoa; Chordata; Actinopteri; Clupeiformes; Clupeidae
Source: RefSeq, a predicted model, not a curated record